Long non-coding RNA from Drosophila santomea, 522 nucleotides. RefSeq lists it as uncharacterized. Lineage: Eukaryota; Metazoa; Arthropoda; Insecta; Diptera; Drosophilidae. The transcript is spliced from 2 exons. The record is from RefSeq and is a predicted model, not a curated record.
CGUUUUUUAUGUUUUGGAUGCAAAAAUCGUCGUUUUCCAUUUCACCGGGUCGGGAAAUGGGACUUUGUCUGUAUACCGUUGCUGCCAGAAAAUGUCAAAUUCAAGGGUCGCGAAAUUGACCCUUUGUCAGGCCAGCAGCGCCGCACCUAGAGUUCAGAAGGACAAAGGGGCACCCCGAUAUGGAGACGGCAUCUAAACAUUAUAGGUUUUUAAUGUUUUAGGUGCCAAAAACUUCAUUUUCCGUUGCGCCUAGUAGGGAAGUAGUAGGUUGCGUAGUUUUUUCUUUUAUUAAUUUGUUAUUCUUUUUCAGGGACAUUGUCAGUAUAAUCACCGCUACCAGAAAAAAAAUCCGAAUUUAAGGGUCACGAUUUUGACCUUUUGCCGGGUCGGCAGCGCCGCGCCAAGGGUCAAUAAAAUCGAGGGAGCUUCUUGACAUAGGGAUGGCAUCAAAACAUUGUGAAUUAUAUAUAUUAUUAUAUAGUACUCUGUUUUAUGUUUUGAUUAAAUUAUUUCAAUCUUUAA